Molecule: non-coding RNA, 23 nt
Filed under: Arabidopsis thaliana (thale cress)
Lineage: Eukaryota; Viridiplantae; Streptophyta; Magnoliopsida; Brassicales; Brassicaceae
Source: RNAcentral
GCCCUUUCUUUAAACGCAGUUUU